UAGCUUGCUACCUGACCUAGCGGCGGACGGGUGAGUAAUGCUUAGGAAUCUGCCUAUUAGUGGGGGACAACAUUCCGAAAGGAAUGCUAAUACCGCAUACGCCCUACGGGGGAAAGCAGGGGAUCUUCGGACCUUGCGCUAAUAGAUGAGCCUAAGUCAGAUUAGCUAGUUGGUGGGGUAAAGGCCUACCAAGGCGACGAUCUGUAGCGGGUCUGAGAGGAUGAUCCGCCACACUGGGACUGAGACACGGCCCAGACUCCUACGGGAGGCAGCAGUGGGGAAUAUUGGACAAUGGGCGAAAGCCUGAUCCAGCCAUGCCGCGUGUGUGAAGAAGGCCUUUUGGUUGUAAAGCACUUUAAGCGAGGAGGAGGCUACUGAGAUUAAUACUCUUGGAUAGUGGACGUUACUCGCAGAAUAAGCACCGGCUAACUCUGUGCCAGCAGCCGCGGUAAUACAGAGGGUGCGAGCGUUAAUCGGAUUUACUGGGCGUAAAGCGUGCGUAGGCGGCUUUUUAAGUCGGAUGUGAAAUCCCUGAGCUUAACUUAGGAAUUGCAUUCGAUACUGGGAAGCUAGAGUAUGGGAGAGGAUGGUAGAAUUCCAGGUGUAGCGGUGAAAUGCGUAGAGAUCUGGAGGAAUACCGAUGGCGAAGGCAGCCAUCUGGCCUAAUACUGACGCUGAGGUACGAAAGCAUGGGGAGCAAACAGGAUUAGAUACCCUGGUAGUCCAUGCCGUAAACGAUGUCUACUAGCCGUUGGGGCCUUUGAGGCUUUAGUGGCGCAGCUAACGCGAUAAGUAGACCGCCUGGGGAGUACGGUCGCAAGACUAAAACUCAAAUGAAUUGACGGGGGCCCGCACAAGCGGUGGAGCAUGUGGUUUAAUUCGAUGCAACGCGAAGAACCUUACCUGGUCUUGACAUAGUAAGAACUUUCCAGAGAUGGAUUGGUGCCUUCGGGAACUUACAUACAGGUGCUGCAUGGCUGUCGUCAGCUCGUGUCGUGAGAUGUUGGGUUAAGUCCCGCAACGAGCGCAACCCUUUUCCUUAUUUGCCAGCGGGUUAAGCCGGGAACUUUAAGGAUACUGCCAGUGACAAACUGGAGGAAGGCGGGGACGACGUCAAGUCAUCAUGGCCCUUACGACCAGGGCUACACACGUGCUACAAUGGUCGGUACAAAGGGUUGCUACCUAGCGAUAGGAUGCUAAUCUCAAAAAGCCGAUCGUAGUCCGGAUUGGAGUCUGCAACUCGACUCCAUGAAGUCGG
RNAcentral lists this ribosomal RNA (1258 nucleotides) under uncultured Acinetobacter sp. Its description in RNAcentral is "bacterial SSU rRNA". It matches the Rfam family "Bacterial small subunit ribosomal RNA", at positions 76 to 1329 of the family's 1533-position model. The record is from RNAcentral. Lineage: Bacteria; Pseudomonadati; Pseudomonadota; Gammaproteobacteria; Moraxellales; Moraxellaceae.